CCAUGCCGCGUGUGUGAAGAAGGCUUUUGGUUGUAAAGCACUUUAAGCGAGGAGGAGGGCACUUUGGCUAAUACCCGAAUGUGUCGGACGUUACUCGCAGAAUAAGCACCGGCUAACUCUGUGCCAGCAGCCGCGGUAAUACAGAGGGUGCGAGCGUUAAUCGGAAUUACUGGGCGUAAAGCGCGCGUAGGCGGUUAUGUAAGUUGGAUGUGAAAUCCCUGGGCUUAACCUGGGCACUGCAUUCAAAACUGCAUAGCUAGAGUAUGGGAGAGGAUGGUAGAAUUCCAGGUGUAGCGGUGAAAUGCGUAGAGAUCUGGAGGAAUACCCGAUGGCGAAGGCAACCAUCUGGCCUAAUACUGACGCUGAGGUGCGAAACAUGGGGAGCAACAGGAUUAGAUACCCUGGUANUCCAUGCCGUAACGAUGUCACUAGCCGUUGGGG
This 441-nucleotide ribosomal RNA is filed under the name uncultured bacterium. RNAcentral describes it as "bacterial SSU rRNA". It matches the Rfam family "Bacterial small subunit ribosomal RNA", at positions 392 to 828 of the family's 1533-position model. The record is from RNAcentral.